AUUGAACGCUGGCGGCAGGCCUAACACAUGCAAGUCGAGCGGAUGAAGGGAGCUUGCUCCUGGAUUCAGCGUCGGACGGGUGAGUAAUGCCUAUGAAUCUGCCUGGUAGUGGGGGAUAACGUCCUGAAACGGGCGCUAAUACCGCAUACGUCCUGAGGGAGAAAGUUGGGGAUCUUCGGACCUCACGCUAUCAGAUGAGCCUAGGUCGGAUUAGCUAGUUGGUGGGGUAAAGGCCUACCAAGGCGACGAUCCGUAACUGGUCUGAGAGGAUGAUCAGUCACACUGGAACUGAGACACGGUCCAGACUCCUACGGGAGGCAGCAGUGGGGAAUAUUGGACAAUGGGCGAAAGCCUGAUACAGCCAUGCCGAGUGUGUGAAGAAGGUCUUCGGAUUGUAAAGAACUUUAGGUUGGGAGGAAGGGCAGUAAGUUAAUACCUUGCUGUUUUGACGUUACCAACAGAAUAAGCACCGGCUAACUUCGUG
RNAcentral lists this ribosomal RNA (484 nucleotides) under uncultured bacterium. Its description in RNAcentral is "partial 16S ribosomal RNA". It matches the Rfam family "Bacterial small subunit ribosomal RNA", at positions 30 to 507 of the family's 1533-position model. The record is from RNAcentral.